RNAcentral lists this ribosomal RNA (1457 nucleotides) under uncultured Bordetella sp. RNAcentral describes it as "partial 16S-23S ribosomal RNA intergenic spacer". It matches the Rfam family "Bacterial small subunit ribosomal RNA". Lineage: Bacteria; Pseudomonadati; Pseudomonadota; Betaproteobacteria; Burkholderiales; Alcaligenaceae. The record is from RNAcentral.
AGUUUGAUUAUGGCUCAGAUUGAACGCUGGCGGGAUGCUUUACACAUGCAGUCCGAGCAGCGGCACGGACUUCGGUCUGGUGGCGAGUGGCGAACAUGUGUGUAUCGGAACGUGCCUAGUAGCGAGAUAGCACGCAGCGUAGCUAAUACCACUACGCCCUUCGGGGGAAAGCGGGGACCUUCGGGCCUCGCACUAUUAGAGCGGCCGAUAUCGGAUUAGCUAGUUGGUGGGGUAACGGCUCACCAAGGCGACGAUCCGUAGCUGGUUUGGGAGGACGACCAGCCACACUGGGACUCGAGACACAGCCCAGACUCCUACGGGGAGGCAGCAGUCAGAAUUUUGGACAAUGGGGAAAUCCCUGAUCCAGCCAUCCCGCGUGUGCGAUGAAGGCCUUCGGGUUGUAAGCACUUUUGGCAGGAAAGAAGCAGCCUGGGAUAAUACCCCGUGCAACUGACGUACCUGCAGAAUAAGCACCGGCUAACUACGUGCCAGCAGCCGCGGUAAUACGUGAGGUGCAAGCGUUAAUCAGGGUACUGAGGCGCUUGUGCGCAGGCGGUUCGGAAAGAAAGAUGUGAAAUCCCAGGCUUAACUUUGGAACUGCAUUUUUAACUACCGAGCUAGAGUGUGUCAGAGGGAGUGGAAUUCCGCGUGUAGCAGUGAAAUGCGUAGAUAUGCGGAGGAGAACUUUGACCAGCGGCCUCCUGGGAUAACACGGCGCUCGCGCACGAAAGCGUGGGGAGCAAACAGGAUUAGAUGCCCUGGUAGUCCACGCCUAAACGAUGUCAACUUCUUUGCGCAGGGCCUUCGGGCGGCGGUGGCCAGCUAACGCGUGAAGUUGACCGCCUGGGAGUACGGUCGCAAGAUUAAAACUCAAGAUUGACGGGGUUCGCCCGGCAGUGGAUGAUGUGGAUUAAUUCGAUGCAACGCGAAAACCUUACCUACCCUUAAAUGACAUGUCUGGAAUCCGAAGGGUGCGGUGUGAAACCGGAACACGGGUGCCAUGGCUGUCGUCAGCUCGUGUCGUGAGAUGUUGGGUUAAGUCCCGCUUGAGCGCAACCCUUGUCAUUGUUGCUACGAGGCACUCUAAUGAGACUGCCGGUGACAAACCGGAGGAAGGUGGGGAUGACGUCAAGUCCUCAUGGCCCUUAUGGUGCAGGCUUGCGUCAUACGUGGUCGGGACAGAGGGGUCGCCAACCCGUGAGGGGAGCCAAUCCCGAAGCCCGAUCGUAGUCCGGAUCGCAGUCUGCAACUCUGGCCGUGAAGUCCGGAAUCGCGCUAGUAAUCGCGGAUCGGCAUGUCGCGGUGAAUACGUUCCCGGGUCUUAUGCCACCGCCCGUCACACCAUGGGAGUGGGGUUUACCAGAAGUAGUUAGCCUAACCGUAGGGAGGGCGAUUACCACGGUAGUUCCCAUGACUGGGGUGAGAGUGUGACAAGGUAACUCUGUUACUGGUACUCA